RNAcentral lists this long non-coding RNA (260 nucleotides) under Hordeum vulgare. RNAcentral describes it as "long non-coding RNA (HVUL_LNC000347)". The record is from RNAcentral. Lineage: Eukaryota; Viridiplantae; Streptophyta; Magnoliopsida; Poales; Poaceae.
UCGAAUACAAUAGAAGAUUAGUCUCCGAAUACAAUUCAUCAUAUUAGUCUCUGAAUUUAAAAUACCGAACAAAGUUAGAACAUUAAAAGUCUCGAGACCGCGAGUAGCGAGUUUAUCUUCACAUUACAAGUCAAUAUCGAUCAUCUAAACUACCAUCACAUAGAAGAGAGCUGCUGUCAUCACGAUGAGCAUAAUCGCGAUGAAACUGGUCUUCAUCCGAUUCCUCCAACGCUCCCUCCUCUCUCCCGCUAGAUAACGCG